This 2078-nucleotide long non-coding RNA is filed under the name Pandoravirus quercus. Its description in RNAcentral is "hypothetical ncRNA". The record is from RNAcentral.
GCUAACAAAAAGGUGCGAAAGGAACGGUAACGACUUUUAGUUCACUGCAAGCAAAGAACAAAGCGACGAUCAAAGAAGACAUCGGGGGAUCAUGCGAGCGGUACACGUCCGACCUUGGCGAGAUAGGCCAAGGCGUCGGCACUGCGCCAAGGCGCCCUAGGGAGCGCAGCCUCGUCCCACGGACAGUCGUGUUCGUGGAGAAAGCGCACACAAUCGAGGCGGCGCUGCGAAAUGGCCCCUCGCCAUGCCGUGCUGUCCCACGGACAUCCGUGCUGGCGCGCAUAGGCCAGGACCUCGACCCUGCCGUAUGCGGCGGCGUUGGCGCAAAAGGUCGCGUCCCAUGGACAGCCGAGGCUGCGGAGGCGCUCGAUCAGCGGCAACCCAUACCCAGCGGCAAAGGCAAGCACCCUCGCGUCGCACGGACAGCCGUUGGUGAGGGCGUACUCGACGCACGGGAUGCUCGUCGGCGAGUACAUGGCCUGUAUGCAUGUCGUCUCGCUCCACGGACAGCCAUGCUCGUGCGCAUAGGCCAGACAGUCGACGUGGUCGUACCGGGCAGCAGCCGUAGUCGUCGCUUCGCCCCACGGACAGCCGUGCUCGUGUACAUAGGCCAGGCAGUCGACGUGGCCGCUCUGCGCGGCGUUGAUCGCCGUCGACUUGUCCCACGGGCAGCCGUGCUCGUGCAGGUAGCGCAAGUUUUCCAGUCUGCCGUUUCCUGCAGCCGCUACCGGCGCCCCUUCAUCCCAUGGGCAGCCGUUGUCGUGUGCGUAGGCGAGUGCGUCGAGACUGUCGAGAGCGGCAGCCUCUCGACAGACGUCGGCAUCCCAGGGGCAUCCAGACUCGUGCAGAUAGCGCAGGAUGUCGACGUGUCCCCACCUGGCGGCAUUGGCCGGCGCCCUUGUGCUGGUGGGACAUUCAUGCUCGCACAAGUAGAUCACACAAUCCAUGUGUCCAUUUCGCGCGGCUUCUUCCAUCGCCGUAGCGCUCCACGGACAGCCGUGCUCGUGCAGGCAGCGCAGGGCGUCGAGGUGACCGCGACACGCUGCAGUCGCCGUAGCGUGAUGUGAACCGUAAAAGCCGCGACGCGUGGUCCACGUGUAUCCGACACUAGAAAGAUACUCGAUCAAGUCUCGGCGAUCGCAGGCCGCUGCUACAUUGUCGAUGCCGGCAUCCCACGCGCAGCCGUGCUCGCGCACAUAAAUCAAACAGUCGAGGGAUGUCGGGUGUGCUGCGGCGGUCGCCUGAUUUGUGGCCCAUGGGCAGCCGUUUUCGUGCAAGUAGCGCAGACAGUCGAGGUGGCCGCCUUUGGCCGCCAUAUAGGCGGCCUCGGACUCCCACGGACACCCGUUUUCAUAAAGAUAGCGCAGGCAGGCGAGGUGGCCUUUGGCUGCUGCCCAGAAGCACGCCAGAGCAUCCCACUUUUGGCGACGACUGUGGGCGUACUGGAGGAUGUCCAGGUGGCCACAGGCGGCGGCCUCGCGGCAGGCGUCGCGCAACCAUGGGCACUCCUGCUCAUCCAGAUAGCGGACGCAGGCGAGACUGCCGCUGCGGAUGGCCGCUCUAGAUGUCGACCUGCCCCACGGGCACACGGGUUCGGUGGCAUAGCGCCACAAUUCGGGACGCGCGGCCCUGGCGGCGGCCGCCUUGCUGCCACUACGCCUCGGGCGCACGAUAGUGCGUGCAUAACAGAGACAAUCGAAAUGGCCCGCGGCAGCGGCCUCUGUGCACAGCGUUGUCGGUGAUGAACAAGAGGUCACGCACAAGUUGCGCCCCAUCGCCAAUGGAUCGCUACAAAUCGACCUCCAUAAGCGGCACACGGGCGAUGCCGCGCGGCGUGCCUCAAUGCACGGCAAAAAGGCGAGCACGGCCGCCACCAACUCGUUGGGUAGAUUGUCAAAGGUUGACAUCCUCUCAAAUGCCGCUGUCGCCUGCUAGAGAUCGAUCCUUGUGUCUUGUUUUGCCGAUACUUGGUUGCUCGACGGAAAAAAAAAAGAUUUAUUCUUGGCCUCGCUUUUCUCUUGAUCAGGGAUCGGCAAUGACACAGUGCAAAAAACACAGGCGCAGAGGAAAAAAGUAAG